AGAGGACAGAGGACACACAGUUUAACAUGAUGGACUAUAGGACAGGACUGCUGCUGCUCACUGUCUGCUGGGCAGGUGUUGAUGGUCAGACUCUGACAGAAUCUGAACCAGUGACUAAAAGGCCUGGAGAAUCUCACAGAUUGACCUGUACA
Molecule: long non-coding RNA, 152 nt
Organism: Trematomus bernacchii (emerald rockcod)
Lineage: Eukaryota; Metazoa; Chordata; Actinopteri; Perciformes; Nototheniidae
Exons: 2
Source: RefSeq, a predicted model, not a curated record